GAAGACUGCAAGCUUGGUCCUGUCGUCAGUGCUGGACAAUAUGAGAAGGUAUUGAAGUUCAUCUCAAAUGCCAAAAGUGAAGGUGCAACCAUUCUGUGUGGUGGCGAACGGCCUCAGCACUUGAAGAAAGGAUAUUAUGUUCAGCCAACAAUUAUUACUGAUGUUAAUACCUCAAUGGAAAUCUGGAAAGAGGAAGUAUUCG
This 202-nucleotide unclassified non-coding RNA is filed under the name Hevea brasiliensis (rubber tree). Lineage: Eukaryota; Viridiplantae; Streptophyta; Magnoliopsida; Malpighiales; Euphorbiaceae. The record is from RNAcentral.